This 121-nucleotide transfer RNA is filed under the name Cyanothece sp. PCC 7425. RNAcentral describes it as "tRNA-Und (NNN) (tRNA-Und-NNN-1-1)". Lineage: Bacteria; Bacillati; Cyanobacteriota; Cyanophyceae; Gomontiellales; Cyanothecaceae. The record is from RNAcentral.
GGGGUAAGUUUGGGGUAGAGUUUCCUGAAAAACGCUAGAAGUCUUAUCAGCCAAGAAACCUAAACAGACUUAAAAUCCGUUGACCGAAUAAGUCGUGAGGGUUCAAGUCCCUCCGCCCCCA